UGAGGAAUAUUGGUCAAUGGACGAGAGUCUGAACCAGCCAAGUAGCGUGCAGGAUGACGGCCCUAUGGGUUGUAAACUGCUUUUGUUUGGGAAUAAUCGACAUUACGUGUAAUGUUUUGCAUGUACCAUUCGAAUAAGGACCGGCUAAUUCCGUGCCAGCAGCCGCGGUAAUACGGAAGGUCCAGGCGUUAUCCGGAUUUAUUGGGUUUAAAGGGAGUGUAGGCGGUUGGUUAAGCGUGUUGUGAAAUGUAGAUGCUCAACAUCUGACUUGCAGCGCGAACUGGCUGACUUGAGUACACACAACGUAGGCGGAAUUCAUGGUGUAGCGGUGAAAUGCUUAGAUAUCAUGAAGAACUCCGAUUGCGAAGGCAGCUUACGGGAGUGUUACUGACGCUUAAGCUCGAAGGUGCGGGUAUCGAACAAG
This 424-nucleotide ribosomal RNA is filed under the name Verrucomicrobiota bacterium. RNAcentral describes it as "Verrucomicrobia bacterium partial 16S ribosomal RNA". It matches the Rfam family "Bacterial small subunit ribosomal RNA", at positions 355 to 776 of the family's 1533-position model. The record is from RNAcentral. Lineage: Bacteria; Pseudomonadati; Verrucomicrobiota.